RNAcentral lists this unclassified non-coding RNA (329 nucleotides) under soil metagenome. RNAcentral's name for it is "partial contains 5.8S ribosomal RNA, internal transcribed spacer 2, and large subunit ribosomal RNA". The stretch from base 1 to 120 matches the Rfam family "5.8S ribosomal RNA", at positions 35 to 154 of the family's 154-position model. The record is from RNAcentral.
GAUGAAGAACGUAGCGAAAUGCGAUAAGUAAUGUGAAUUGCAGAAUUCAGUGAAUCAUCGAAUCUUUGAACGCACAUUGCGCCCCCUGGUAUUCCGGGGGGCAUGCCUGUUCGAGCGUCAUUUCACCACUCAAGCCUCGCUUGGUAUUGGGCAACGCGGUCCGCCGCGUGCCUCAAAUCGACCGGCUGGGUCUUCUGUCCCCUAAGCGUUGUGGAAACUUUCGCUAAAGGGUGUUCGGGAGGCUACGCCGUAAAACAACCCCAUUUCUAAGGUUGACCUCGGAUCAGGUAGGGAUACCCGCUGAACUUAAGCAUAUCAAUAACGGAGGA